UGGGGAACUUCCUGCUAUUACCUUUCUCAUAUUCCUCAUAUUCUCAUUCCUCAGUCUUUCAGCCAGGGGAAAAAGGAUUUGCAUCAAUAGAAUAAAGAGGCCAUUCUAGAGUACAUUAUGAUGAACUUGUUUAAACAUAAUUUUUAAAAUAUAUACACAAGGAAAUAUACAAACCAUCUGAGAAAAAGAAUUGCCUGUGGCUUUAGCAUAAGAGAUGUGCUACAGAUGAGAAAAGCUGUGGACAAAAGACUUCAAGAGCAGUUUUUUCAAGCUGAAAUUGGCUCUGCUUCAAAUAUUCUUGAAAGACUAAUUUUCUUUGGAUGGUAGUGACCGUGGAGCGGAUUUUAUAUCUUCCAAGAGGGACACUUGAGGUAUUUCUGGUCAUAUGGCAGACAUUUCUGAAGCUUGAAAUGAUAGACUUCUGCUUGGGCUUCCACUGCUGCUUGAUGAGACCAUGUAUAUUCUCUGUCCUGUGUUACACCUGGCAGCUCUCCAUGGGUUUCUUCCCCACCUCAGCAGAACCAAAGUGAAGCAAUUUACUUUAACAUUCUUGAUUUGAUCUCCUUCUCCCUAGAAAAUAUUUUUCUAUCACUUGACUACCAGCUAUGAGGGUUGUUGCAACAGGCUGCCUACAAGGAAAAAACAGAACUCUAGAAAAGUUUGGUUUAUGCUGGAAAGAGAAAGAGAGUGUGUCAAAAUGCUGGGUUAGAUACCCAUUCAGCCUACUGUUAUGAAUGCUAAUGGGGCUACAGUGAUUUCACAGCGUGCUGGAAAUGAGACACAGAAUAAAGCCUGCAUUCUGAAAUAGCUGAUCCGUCUGUGAGAAGGAAAAGUCACAAAAAAGCUCUUGUGGACCUUGUGGACUUAGUGUUUUGUUCACAUGAAGGAGUGACAUGGAAUCAGCAGAGCCACAGGCAUUAUGAUUAAACUAAUUUCAUAGGCAGCAGAAAGGAAAAAAAGCUGCAAGGAAAGGCAUAACUAAAAUGUUCUAAGGCUGCAAAAUGCAGUUCAGUUACAGUUCCUCUUCUGAGACUUCAUCAUGCACCUGGGGACAGAGUUAUAUUGGUAUGGAAAAUGUUGGGCAGUCUGAAACAGGGGUGACAGUAGAAAGCCAGGCAGCAACCACUACCUUAAUUAAGGUUCAGGGGUUGUCCUGAGGCUUGUCCACAUACUAGAGACAGUUUUCUCAUGCAUUAGAACUGCAGAACACGCUAAAAUUGUGGCCCCAGGAUACUACUUUCAGUUGCCUCUCCAGGGAGUAUAUUUAGCUUAUAUUUUGUAUGUCUCAUGUGUCUUAUUGCUCUGGCCAGUGUGUGGCUACAUAUUUUGUGGAGCUUGGGGGUCACACGUAGCCUAGCAUGUGACAAAUUCUAGCAAGAAUUUAUAGCUAUGAAGGCCCAGAUGCCUGAAAAGUGUGCAAGGCAUGACUGGGGAUAUGGGUUACAGCAGCCUCCGUGUCAGCACCUGCUGUCAAGCACAAGACACAUCUCAGCACCUGAGCCACUCUUUGAAGUUUAGCAUUUGCCUGCAGCCAAGAAAUUUCCACCCCACUGGAGUAUGGAUUAGCACAGUACAUGGAAAAUAAGCCUUCAAAAUCAGUUUAUAAUUUGUCAUUUUUACUUUUCUGUAUGAUUUUGUAAAUGUUAGCGAGCAGAACUAAGAGUUAGGGACUCUGGGAGGGCAGGUGAGGUGGUAACAGAUGAUGUAGAUUUGCAGAACAAUAACAAACUAAUAAGAUAACAGCAUGCUUUCACAGAUUUUUAAACCAUGUUUUUAUUUUAAACCACCUGGUUAUUCUAUGCUGAAACUGUAGAAUUCUGCAGAAGAUGGUACUUGUUAGCUAUAAACACUUAAAUUGCUAAACCACCAAGCUUCUGAAAAAUAUAUCUGUUUUUUCUAACAAAAAUUGAAGAGUAUCAGGCUGGUGACCAGACAACAUUCGCAAACAGGAGUCAAUGUUCAAGUAAAUACAUUGAAUUUGUGCAAGCUCGAGUAGCAACAAAGAGCACCACAUCAAAACCUUAGAAAACAGAAAACUGUUUUGUUCUAUUUACCCUGAUUUAGACUAAGGAAUCUUUGGGAAUCAACAGAUUACAAAAGCAAGUUAGUGUUUAGGGCAACAAUGCUGUGUCAUUUGUGGAGUAAUAAUGUUCUCUUUAACACCAAAAAUCUCAUUUAC
Molecule: long non-coding RNA, 2179 nt
Organism: Passer domesticus (house sparrow)
Lineage: Eukaryota; Metazoa; Chordata; Aves; Passeriformes; Passeridae
Exons: 3
Source: RefSeq, a predicted model, not a curated record